This 426-nucleotide ribosomal RNA is filed under the name Thermococcus sp. MZ11. Its description in RNAcentral is "bacterial SSU rRNA". It matches the Rfam family "Archaeal small subunit ribosomal RNA", at positions 92 to 516 of the family's 1478-position model. Lineage: Archaea; Methanobacteriati; Methanobacteriota; Thermococci; Thermococcales; Thermococcaceae. The record is from RNAcentral.
AGUAACACGUCGGUAACCUACCCUCGGGAGGGGGAUAACCCCGGGAAACUGGGGCUAAUCCCCCAUAGGCCUGAGGUACUGGAAGGUCCUCAGGCCGAAAGGGGCUCUGCCCGCCCGAGGAUGGGCCGGCGGCCGAUUAGGUAGUUGGUGGGGUAACGGCCCACCAAGCCGAAGAUCGGUACGGGCCAUGAGAGUGGGAGCCCGGAGAUGGACACUGAGACACGGGUCCAGGCCCUACGGGGCGCAGCAGGCGCGAAACCUCCGCAAUGCGGGCAACCGCGACGGGGGGACCCCCAGUGCCGUGGCAUCGCCACGGCUUUUCCGGAGUGUAAAGAGCUCCGGGAAUAAGGGCUGGGCAAGGCCGGUGGCAGCCGCCGCGGUAAUACCGGCGGCCCGAGUGGUGGCCGCUAUUAUUGGGCCUAAAGC